Molecule: ribosomal RNA, 214 nt
Filed under: uncultured soil bacterium
Lineage: Bacteria
Description: partial 16S ribosomal RNA
Rfam family: Bacterial small subunit ribosomal RNA
Source: RNAcentral
GAUCAUGGCUCAGAGUGAACGCUGGCGGCAGGCCUAACACAUGCAAGUCGAACGGCAGCGCAGCAGUAGCAAUACUGUGGGCGGCGAGUGGCGGACGGGUGAGGAAUACAUCGGAAUCUACCCUGUCGUGGGGGAUAACGUAGGGAAACUUACGCUAAUACCGCAUACGACCCACGGGUGAAAGCGGUGGACCGCAAGGCGUCGCGCGACUGGA